CCCUAUUAUUUCAGCAAAAAAUACAGUUAGAGAGUAUGUGUUGAGGUCACAGAAAACCAUCCAGAAUGGCGGUCCCUUUUUCUCAGAGGAAUGUGUUUUGAAAGCGAAACUUCACGGAAAUCUUUCUUAAUCUUGAAAUACCAUCAUGUACCCCGCCGUCUGAAGGAUUUUUGUAAAAAAAAAACCUAUAACCUUGUGGUGGUUGUAAGUCAGGUUAGGAGCAGACUAUGGUUAAGAAAAAAUGCAUCCCAAUAAAAUGUGAGANAUAGGUUGAAACACCUUUCUCAAAAAGAAUUUGAAAGUAAACUUCUCUAAUUAUGAAAGGUUGAAAUUCAAAACAGGGAUGUACACAUCGCCCGUCGCUC
RNAcentral lists this ribosomal RNA (365 nucleotides) under Columbicola fortis. Its description in RNAcentral is "partial 12S ribosomal RNA". Lineage: Eukaryota; Metazoa; Arthropoda; Insecta; Psocodea; Philopteridae. The record is from RNAcentral.